This 497-nucleotide ribosomal RNA is filed under the name uncultured bacterium. RNAcentral describes it as "partial 16S ribosomal RNA". It matches the Rfam family "Bacterial small subunit ribosomal RNA", at positions 28 to 507 of the family's 1533-position model. The record is from RNAcentral.
GAUGAACGCUGGCGGCGUGCCUAAUACAUGCAAGUCGAGCGAACGGACGAGAAGCUUGCUUCUCUGAUGUUAGCGGCGGACGGGUGAGUAACACGUGGAUAACCUACCUAUAAGACUGGGAUAACUUCGGGAAACCGUAGCUAAUACCGGAUAAUAUUUUGAACCGCAUGGUUCAAAAGUGAAAGACGGUCUUGCUGUCACUUAUAGAUGGAUCCGCGCUGCAUUAGCUAGUUGGUAAGGUAACGGCUUACCAAGGCAACGAUGCAUAGCCGACCUGAGAGGGUGAUCGGCCACACUGGAACUGAGACACGGUCCAGACUCCUACGGGAGGCAGCAGUAGGGAAUCUUCCGCAAUGGGCGAAAGCCUGACGGAGCAACGCCGCGUGAGUGAUGAAGGUCUUCGGAUCGUAAAACUCUGUUAUAAGGGAAGAACAUAUGUGUAAGUAACUGUGCACAUCUUGACGGUACCUAAUCAGAAAGCCACGGCUAACUACGUG